RNAcentral lists this long non-coding RNA (643 nucleotides) under Mytilus galloprovincialis (Mediterranean mussel). Lineage: Eukaryota; Metazoa; Mollusca; Bivalvia; Mytilida; Mytilidae. The record is from RNAcentral.
UUGUGAUAUGCAAUAUUUUCUACAACCGUUCUAUAUUAACGAAGAAAUAAGUAAAAAUGCAUGUCAAAAUGACGAAUUGAGUGAACCUUGCCUCGAAAUUGUUUAAUUUCUCGUUAAAUUGUUCACAUUGUACGGAAAGAAAGGUACGGGAAGAUAGAUACUGACACGGAGAUUGCAAAACUAGUCAUUAUGAGCAUCUCAAUACUUGUAUUUCUGUGUAUGGAACGAAAGAAAUGGGUCAUGUCAAAUUAAAAUACACCGGUUUCGUCAUUGUUGUUUACUACACAAUCACCCGGUUUCGUCUAUAUAUAUCACCCGGUUUUUUUAUAUUUUUUUAAAACCAACAAUUUAUGAAAAGCAACGUUAACACGGAUCUGAACAUUGUCUUUCGAAAGAAUUUAAAUAUAUAUUUAUUAUAAAGUAAACUUGGCGUGUUUACAUUUAUUUACAUAGGUAAUUAUAGUACUACACAUUUUCCUAAUGAAAAUCGUAUCCGUUAUUUCACUGAUCUUCAAACUAAUUUUAAAUGGAAUAUAAAUACUCAAUAGCAAACACUGAUAUCUAAUUAUUUUUUUUAACAUUAACAUUAUGAUAUUUUUUAUAUAGGUUUUGAGAUACAUCGCAAUAUGUGACCCCCUUUUUU